Molecule: ribosomal RNA, 253 nt
Filed under: uncultured bacterium
Lineage: Bacteria
Description: partial 16S ribosomal RNA
Rfam family: Bacterial small subunit ribosomal RNA
Source: RNAcentral
UACGCAGGGUGCGAGCGUUAAUCGGAAUUACUGGGCGUAAAGGGCGCGUAGGCGGACAGUUUAGUCAGAGGUGAAAGCCCAGGGCUCAACCUUGGAAUUGCCUUUGAUACUGAUUGUCUUGAGUUUGGGAGAGGUGAGUGGAACUCCGAGUGUAGAGGUGAAAUUCGUAGAUAUUCGGAAGAACACCAGUGGCGAAGGCGACUCACUGGCCCAAUACUGACGCUGAGGCGCGAAAGCGUGGGGAGCAAACAGG